AAACUUGUUUUGCUUCUUGUGGGUUUGGUCAGCAUCAGAUACUUGUUCAAGCACUGCAGAAUUUAGCUGCUAGAUUGAUUCUGCCAGAAGAGGAAUCUUGGGACAUUGAUGUCAUGGUGAAAAUUGAUGUUGUGGUGAAUUUUUGUGUGGCAAAAGCACAGAAUUGGUACUUCAGACUCUGAAGAGGCACUGGUAAUAAAAGGAGUCAGGAAGAUAACACAGGGAAGUAGAAUACAUAUUAAGUACAGCUUGGCUGGACAAAGUACCCGAUUAAAGCAGACGAUUAAGUAGUAUUUAAAAAGGGUGUUUUCUCACCACAUUACGUAGCCCAAACUGUGCGUGAAUCUGUAAUCCAGUGAUCUGCUUUAAACAUAUCUCAAGAAACUGCAAAACUCUGUGUAACUAGAGCUGAGUAGCAUUUACUGUGAGGUCUGUGGAUCCUCCUGGGAGAAAGAAAAGAUGGGUUCCUCUGAAACUGAAAAGACGGAGCAAAGGCUCCCUAUGAUUCAAGAUGCAGCUAAGAACAGGAAAAGUAAUGGAAAUACCAAACAAGCAAGAGUUAAGCAACAACAACAACAACAACAACAACAACAACAACAACAACAUGAAGAAAGAGUCUCUCUGAAACUGAGCCAUUCUCUAUAUGGGUUCUACAGUAAU
Podarcis muralis (Common wall lizard) is the source of this 660-nucleotide non-coding RNA. NCBI's taxonomy places the organism in Eukaryota, Metazoa, Chordata, Lepidosauria, Squamata, Lacertidae. The record is from RefSeq and is a predicted model, not a curated record.